AGAGAGAUUUAGAUAAGUUCCCUUAGUAGCUUGGAAAGAGUCUGUGCCUGAGAGAAUUCUGUAUCCUCAGACUGUGGCUCUUACUGCCUAACUGUGGCUGCAGAUUGCUGUGGAGUUUUGGUUGCUGAUUUGGACAACCUUGACUUAAAAGGACAAUGGGAUCUGGACAUCUGGGGCUUACAUAUCAGCUGUGAAUAAGAAGAGCCAAGUAUCACUGAGAUAUAACCUUAGGUCAGUGUUUUCUCAGAGACAGCUCAUGAAAACUGUGGUCAGAGUGGCCAAGCCUUGUAGCUCAUGGUAGCAGGCAAACUUGGUAACAUGUGAGAGUCUCCCAGGUGGUACUGGUUUUGAAAACAUGAAGAUGUCUUGGAAAGUGGGUGAGACUUAGCACUAUGAAGUACAUGAUAAACCAUUCCUGAAGGUACAGCCAGAGUAGCAGUGGAAACCCAAGAACUGAAAGAGUGAUUAAGAAAAACUGAGGCUUUGCACCCUGAAGGCAACCAGGAGAUGCUAUUGGUGAAAGGGGAGCUGAUUUGUAGUAGAAGACUAUUUUUUUGGAGAUACCAGUACCCAUGGGACAGCUGACCAUCAUUGUAGCAAUGCUGGAGUGGAGAUGGCCUCAGUCUACAAGACAGCUCAGUGUGUGCUAAAGAGAAAGGAGUCUGAUAAGUGACCUAAGCCCUUUGUGAGUGAGUCCCAGCCAUUGGGCAUUUAUUUAUUUAUACUUGUUGGAGUGUCGUUCUGCUUCAUUCAGAUUGUGUGUGGUGUGUCCUGUUCUUUUAAGUUUGUUAUGUUUCAUGUUUGUGAUGGUUUUUAAUAUGAGAUAUUGGAGACAUGGUA
Molecule: long non-coding RNA, 840 nt
Organism: Mesocricetus auratus (golden hamster)
Lineage: Eukaryota; Metazoa; Chordata; Mammalia; Rodentia; Cricetidae
Exons: 2
Source: RefSeq, a predicted model, not a curated record